CGGCAAGAGCCCAAAUUUGAAAUCGGGCAACCGAGUUGUAAUUUGGAGACGGGACACUAGAGAGGAGGAAGGCGAUUAAGUGCCUUGGAACAGGCUGCCGUAGAGGGUGAGAGCCCCGUGAAUCGCUGGAGACCGAUCGAUUAGUGCCCGCCGAAGAGUCGAGUUGUUUGGGAAUGCAGCUCUAAGCGGGUGGUAUAUUCCAUCUAAGGCUAAAUAUUAGCGAGAGACCGAUAGCAAACAAGUACAGUGAUGGAAAGAUGAAAAGAACUUUGGAAAGAGAGUGAAAUAGUACGUGAAAUUGUUGAAAGGGAAGGGUAUUUGAUCCGACAUGGUGUUUAGCAGCGGCCCGUUCCUCGUGGAUGGGUGCACCUGGUUUACACUGGGCCAGCAUCGGUUCUGGGAGCCAUAUACGGGGUUCGUGAAUGUGGCCCUUCGAUUCUGUCGGAGGGUGUUAUAGCGCGGGCAUCUUGUGGCUAGCCGGGACCGGGGACU
This 492-nucleotide ribosomal RNA is filed under the name Brettanomyces bruxellensis. RNAcentral describes it as "eukaryotic LSU rRNA". It matches the Rfam family "Eukaryotic large subunit ribosomal RNA", at positions 99 to 608 of the family's 3401-position model. The record is from RNAcentral. Lineage: Eukaryota; Fungi; Ascomycota; Pichiomycetes; Pichiales; Pichiaceae.